UUUUGGGAUCGCGGACAGCGCUCAAGGCAUCCCCAGCCUGGCUCUUCUGGAAGCAAACCUGGUGAACUCCUGAGCCCUCCAGCAAGGCGGGCAGGGCCCGAAUGUCUGGAGAGGACUUUGGACCGUGUAGCGGGCACCUCCCUUGCUAGGGGGUGCAGGGUGAUGAGGAAGCUCUGGCCCCUGAGGUAGAGGAUGAAAAAGGACCCCGGUUCAAGUAACCAGAAUGGAAAAUGGCAUCUGACAGGAACUCCUGCCAGGAACCUCUCCCUGGUUAACACCCACACCCCAUACAAAACAACCCCUUGAAAGCAGGCCCCCUUGGCAACCGAGAAGAAGCUGGUGAAGACAUUUCGCCUGCGUCUGUGAGGUGGUAUCAGCAGGCAGGGCUGGGCCUGACAUGCACCCCUCCCUGUGCUUCUCGGAAAACUGGUGACUGUGUGGGGCUUGGGUGGAGCCUGGGCUGUGGGCAGGGUGAGAGCCUGG
Molecule: long non-coding RNA, 483 nt
Filed under: Homo sapiens (human)
Lineage: Eukaryota; Metazoa; Chordata; Mammalia; Primates; Hominidae
Description: HSALNT0176736
Source: RNAcentral